Small nucleolar RNA from Tachyglossus aculeatus (Australian echidna), 138 nucleotides. The record is from RefSeq and is a predicted model, not a curated record. NCBI's taxonomy places the organism in Eukaryota, Metazoa, Chordata, Mammalia, Monotremata, Tachyglossidae.
AGCCUCUCAGGGUCACACCUGGAGAGUUUCCAGUACUCUACCAGUCUCGACUUAAGAAGGGACAGUCAAGCAGAGGCAUAGCCAUUCCAUUCCUAGCUGGCCCAGUGGCUAGCGAAUGGAAGACAAUCUGCUACAGGU